GGGGGUUUAGCUCAUUUGGUAGAGCGUCUGAUUUGCAUUCAGAAGGUAAGGAGUUCGACUCUCCUAACCUCCA
RNAcentral lists this transfer RNA (73 nucleotides) under Chlamydiota bacterium. RNAcentral describes it as "Chlamydiae bacterium (freshwater metagenome) tRNA-Ala". It matches the Rfam family "tRNA". From Rfam's summary of the family: Transfer RNA (tRNA) molecules are approximately 80 nucleotides in length. Lineage: Bacteria; Pseudomonadati; Chlamydiota. The record is from RNAcentral.